AAGGAUCAUUACCGAGAGGGGCCCUGGGUCCCAGGGGGCUGCGUCCCCCGCCUCUCCACCCGUGAACAAUCUACCUUUCCGUUGCUUUGGCGGGACCUUUGGGGUAGCACCCACGGCCGGCUCGCCCGGGAGCGCCCGUCCAUCGCCCCUUAAAACUCGAUUUUCUUGAGACGUCCGAGUGAUACCAAAUCAAAACAAAACUUUCAACAACGGAUCUCUUGGUUCCGGCAUCGAUGAAGAACGCAGCGAAAUGCGAUAAAUAAUGUGAAUUGCAGAAUUCAGUGAAUCAUCGAAUCUUUGAACGCACAUUGCGCCCCUCGGCACCCCGGGGGGCAUGCCUGUUCGAGCGUCAUUGCACCCCUCAAGCGUAGCUUGGUCUUGGGUUUUCGUCCCCUGGGCGGACCUCAAAAGUAGUAACGGCCCGGAGUGGUUUCUAAGCGAAGUAACUUUUAUCACCCGCUUCGGAAUCUCACCGUGGUCCUGUUUGGAACACCAACCAAUCAAUGAUUGACCUCGGAUCAGGUAGGGAUACCCGCUGAACUUAA
Molecule: ribosomal RNA, 545 nt
Filed under: Psora vallesiaca
Lineage: Eukaryota; Fungi; Ascomycota; Lecanoromycetes; Lecanorales; Psoraceae
Description: eukaryotic LSU rRNA
Rfam family: 5.8S ribosomal RNA (bases 199-352)
Source: RNAcentral